GCGUGAAGGAUGAAGGCUUUCGGGUUGUAAACUUCUUUGAUCAGGGACGAAACAAAUGACGGUACCUGAAAAACAAGCCACGGCUAACUACGUGCCAGCAGCCGCGGUAAUACGUAGGUGGCGAGCGUUAUCCGGAUUUACUGGGUGUAAAGGGCGUGUAGGCGGGUCUGCAAGUCGGAUGUGAAAUUCCCGGGCUUAACUCGGGCGGGUCAUCCGAAACUGCGGAUCUUGAGUACUGGAGAGGAUAGUGGAAUUCCUAGUGUAGCGGUAAAAUGCGU
This 278-nucleotide ribosomal RNA is filed under the name uncultured bacterium. RNAcentral's name for it is "partial 16S ribosomal RNA". It matches the Rfam family "Bacterial small subunit ribosomal RNA", at positions 399 to 691 of the family's 1533-position model. The record is from RNAcentral.